AACGAACGCUGGCGGCGUGGAUAAGACAUGCAAGUCGAACGGAUUAUUCACUGUAGCAAUACAGUGGGUAGUCAGUGGCGCAAGGGUGCGUAACACGUGGGCAACCUGCCCGGAAGUGGGGGAUAGCUCGCCGAAAGGCGAAUUAAUACCGCAUGUAGCUAGGGGAGACAUCUCUCUGAGGCUAAAGUCGGCGCAAGCUGACGCUUCUGGAUGGGCCCGCGGCCUAUCAGCUAGUUGGUGAGGUAACGGCUCACCAAGGCGAUGACGGGUAGCUGGUCUGAGAGGACGACCAGCCACACUGGAACUGAGACACGGUCCAGACACCUACGGGUGGCAGCAGUCGAGAAUUUUUCUCAAUGGGGGAAACCCUGAAGGAGCGACGCCGCGUGGAGGAUGAAGGUCUUCGGAUUGUAAACUCCUGUCAUUGGUGAACAAGGUUGGACGAGUAACUGCGUACCAGCUUGAUAGUAGCCGAAGAGGAAGAGACGGCUAACUCUGUGCCAGCAGCCGCAGUAAAAC
This 519-nucleotide ribosomal RNA is filed under the name uncultured bacterium. RNAcentral's name for it is "bacterial SSU rRNA". It matches the Rfam family "Bacterial small subunit ribosomal RNA", at positions 29 to 526 of the family's 1533-position model. The record is from RNAcentral.